GUACUUGCUUCAACAGAACAUAUACUAAAAUUGGAACGAUACAGAGAAGAUUAUCAUGGCCCCUGUUCAGGGAUGAUACACAAACAACUGGCACAGCCCUGCUGUUA
This is a small nuclear RNA of Heterocephalus glaber (naked mole-rat), 107 nucleotides long. NCBI's taxonomy places the organism in Eukaryota, Metazoa, Chordata, Mammalia, Rodentia, Bathyergidae. The record is from Ensembl.